GAAUAUUGGACAAUGGGGGCAACCCUGAUCCAGCGACGCCGCGUGGGUGAAGAAGGCCUGCGGGUUGUAAAGCCCUUUCGGUGGGGAAGAAAAGCCUCGACCUAAUACGUCGGGGUCUUGACGUAACCCACAAAAGAAGCACCGGCUAACUCUGUGCCAGCAGCCGCGGUAAUACAGAGGGUGCGAGCGUUAAUCGGAAUUACUGGGCGUAAAGCGUACGCAGGCGGCUUUGCAAGACAGGUGUGAAAUCCCCGGGCCUAACCUGGGAACUGCAUUUGUGACUGCAUGGCUAGAGUCUGUCAGAGGGGGGUGGAAUUCCACGUGUAGCAGUGAAAUGCGUAGAGAUGUGGAAGAACACCGAUGGCGAAGGCAGCCCCCUGGGAUAAGACUGACGCUCAUGUACGAAAGCGUGGGGAGCAAACAGG
RNAcentral lists this ribosomal RNA (425 nucleotides) under uncultured bacterium. RNAcentral describes it as "bacterial SSU rRNA". It matches the Rfam family "Bacterial small subunit ribosomal RNA", at positions 359 to 776 of the family's 1533-position model. The record is from RNAcentral.